This 73-nucleotide transfer RNA is filed under the name Lachnospiraceae bacterium. RNAcentral describes it as "tRNA-Lys". It matches the Rfam family "tRNA". Rfam says of the family: Transfer RNA (tRNA) molecules are approximately 80 nucleotides in length. The record is from RNAcentral. Lineage: Bacteria; Bacillati; Bacillota; Clostridia; Lachnospirales; Lachnospiraceae.
GGGAUAUUAGCUCAGGUGGUAGAGCACUUGACUUUUAAUCAAGUUGUCCAGGUUCCGAAUCCCGGAUGUCUCA